GAUAGUCACGAAAGUGUAAAGCUUUUGCGCUUUGGGAGGGGCCUGCGGUCUAUCAGCUUGUUGGUAAGGUAAUGGCUUACCAAGGCUAUGACGGAUAGCUGGUUUGAGAGAAUGAUCAGCCACAAUGGAACUGAGACACGGUCCAUACUCCUACGGGAGGCAGCAGUGAGGAAUCUUCCGCAAUGGGCGAAAGCCUGACGGAGCAACACCGCGUGAAGGAUGACGGUCGUAAGAUUUAUAAACUUCUUUUCUGAGGGAAGAAUUCUGACGGUACCUCAGGAAUAAGCAUCGGCUAACUAACGUGCCAGCAGCCGAGGUCAGACGUAGGAUGCAAGCGUUAUCCCGGAAUCUAUCUGGGCAUAAAGAGUUCGUAAGCGGUUAGUAAAGUCGGAUGUAAAUAUUUGAGCUCAACUUAAAAAAAGUAUCCAAAACUGGCAAACUGGAGACUGGUAGAGGUAAGUGGAAUUCUGCAUGUAGGGGUAAUAUCCGUAGAUAUGCAGAGGAACACCAAAAGCGAAGGCAGCUUACUGGACCAGUUCUGACGCUCAAGAACGAAAGCGUGGGUAGCGAACGGGAUUAGAUACCCCGGUAGUCCACGCCCUAAACGAUGAACACUAGGUAUUGGAGGUCUCGACCCCUUCAGUGCCGUCGCAAAUGCAAUAAGUGUUCCGCCUGGGUAGUACGAGCGCAAGCUUAAAACUCAAAGGAAUAGACGGGGACCCACACAAGCGGUGGAGCAUCUGGUUUAAUUCGACAAUAAGCGAGGAACCUUACCAAGGCUUGACAUCCCGAGAAGAUCGCCGAAAGGUGAUUGUGCCGUUAGGAACUCGGUGACAGGUGCUGCAUGGUUGUCGUCAGCUCGUGCCUUGAGGUGUUCGGUUAAGUCCGUGAACGAGCGCAACCCUUGUCUCAAGUUGCAUAUUUCUUGAGAGACUGCCG
This 939-nucleotide ribosomal RNA is filed under the name uncultured organism. RNAcentral's name for it is "bacterial SSU rRNA". It matches the Rfam family "Bacterial small subunit ribosomal RNA", at positions 172 to 1154 of the family's 1533-position model. The record is from RNAcentral.